Molecule: transfer RNA, 70 nt
Filed under: Eopsetta jordani (Petrale sole)
Lineage: Eukaryota; Metazoa; Chordata; Actinopteri; Pleuronectiformes; Pleuronectidae
Description: tRNA-His
Rfam family: tRNA
About the family: Transfer RNA (tRNA) molecules are approximately 80 nucleotides in length.
Source: RNAcentral
GUAGAAAUAGUUUAACUUAAAACACUAGAUUGUGAUUCUAGUAAUAAAGGUUAAAAUCCUUUUUUCCACC